AGAGCGAACGCUGGCGGCAGGCCUAACACAUGCAAGUCGAGCGGACGUAGCAAUACGUCAGCGGCAGACGGGAGAGUAACACGUGGGAACGCGCCCUUCGGUUCGGAAUAACUCAGGGAAACUUGAGCUAAUACCGGAUACGCCCUUACGGGGAAAGAUUUAUUGCCGAAGGAACGGCCCGCGUCCGAUUAGCUUGUUGGUGAGGUAAUGGCUCACCAAGGCGACGAUCGGUAGCUGGGUCUGAGAGGAUGACCAGCCUCACUGGGACUGAGACACGGCCCAGACUCCUACGGGAGGCAGCAGUGGGGAAUAUUGGACAAUGGGCGCAAGCCUGAUCCAGCCAUGCCGCGUGGAUGAUGAAGGCCCUAGGGUUGUAAAGUCCUUUUAACGGGGAGAUAAUGACGGUACCCGUAGAAUAAGCCCCGGCUAACUUCGUGCCAGCAGCCGC
Molecule: ribosomal RNA, 448 nt
Filed under: uncultured bacterium
Lineage: Bacteria
Description: SSU rRNA
Rfam family: Bacterial small subunit ribosomal RNA
Source: RNAcentral